Molecule: ribosomal RNA, 433 nt
Filed under: uncultured bacterium
Lineage: Bacteria
Description: partial 16S ribosomal RNA
Rfam family: Bacterial small subunit ribosomal RNA
Source: RNAcentral
AACGAACGCUGGCGGCAUGCCUAACACAUGCAAGUCGAACGAGACCUUCGGGUCUAGUGGCGCACGGGUGCGUAACGCGUGGGAACCUGCCCUUAGGUUCGGAAUAACUCCCCGAAAGGGGUGCUAAUACCGGAUAAUGUCUUCGGACCAAAGAUUUAUCGCCUUUGGAUGGGCCCGCGUUGGAUUAGCUAGUUGGUAGGGUAAAAGCCUACCAAGGCGACGAUCCAUAGCUGGUCUGAGAGGAUGAUCAGCCACACUGGGACUGAGACACGGCCCAGAAUCCUACGGGAGGCAGCAGUGGGGAAUAUUGGACAAUGGGCGAAAGCCUGAUCCAGCAAUGCCGCGUGAGUGAUGAAGGCCUUAGGGUUGUAAAGCUCUUUUACCCGGGAUGAUAAUGACAGUACCGGGAGAAUAAGCACCGGCUAACUCCGUG